AAAAUCAGGUCCAAAUAUCAUCAGAAUUGUCAGAGUCUUUCAUUCCUGGUAAUGUCAAUGUCCAUAGAUGGUGCAGCUCAUUCACAUGGUGACAGAUCUCAUGACACAGAAAUUUCAGAACUCAAAUUUCCUACAUGUGCACAGGGUGGUGUCCACUAAGCUAAUGGUGGGGAUAGUAGCAGCUAUCCUGCACACAGACAUUGAAUGGAGCUGUCUGAUCCAUUAUCAGAAGAGUGGACAGCACUAUGCGUCCGAUCAGAGAAGUUUAUCAAGAAGCAUUACGAGGGACUUGUAUGAAUGGACAGAAGACAUUUUCUUAAUUCACCACUCCAUCAUUGCCUGGUGUUGAAGACUGAACACUUUAUUGAAAAUUGAUAGGAUGUAGCAAUCAAUGGGUGUCAUCAUUUGCCCUGAGAAGACUAAGAGAACUCCCUGGUCCUCAUGAGAUGGUGACACCCUGCAGUAGGAGCAGUUCUUACCGGUAUCUCUUAAAAGAAGACAGAGGUUUACUUAGCAUCUGAUCCAUUUCUGGAGACAAACUUUUGAAUGGAGCUGGGUAGCAGUUACUCGAGAUGUCUGGCUGAUUGACGACGAUAAUUGUCCUGCGUCUGACAUUCUGGUAGGACUUGGAUAGCUCUAUCACUGUAGAAAAUGUCAGGACGGUGGAGAUUUAGAUAAGUGGUGUGAUGUUAUUGAUGGUAAACAGAAGACUGUGACCUUGAAUCUGAAGAUCUGUGAUGAAGACUGGACGUUUGGGGUCACUCUCUGUUACAGUACUACAAAUCUAACAGUGCCCCACUCAGCCACAAAGAGGUUGUCUCUGAUGUCCACACA
This is a long non-coding RNA of Ostrea edulis (European flat oyster), 834 nucleotides long. RefSeq lists it as uncharacterized. The transcript is spliced from 7 exons. The record is from RefSeq and is a predicted model, not a curated record. NCBI's taxonomy places the organism in Eukaryota, Metazoa, Mollusca, Bivalvia, Ostreida, Ostreidae.